UGCCCUGUCGUCUAACGGUAAGACAACAGACUCUGACUCUGUUUAUCGAGGUUCGAAUCCUCGCGGGGCAUCCA
Molecule: transfer RNA, 74 nt
Filed under: Sandarakinorhabdus glacialis
Lineage: Bacteria; Pseudomonadati; Pseudomonadota; Alphaproteobacteria; Sphingomonadales; Sphingosinicellaceae
Description: Polymorphobacter glacialis tRNA-Gln
Rfam family: tRNA
About the family: Transfer RNA (tRNA) molecules are approximately 80 nucleotides in length. Their secondary structure includes four short double-helical elements and three loops (D, anti-codon, and T loops).
Source: RNAcentral